RNAcentral lists this long non-coding RNA (192 nucleotides) under Mustela putorius furo (domestic ferret). RNAcentral's name for it is "lncRNA (ENSMPUG00000028112.1)". Lineage: Eukaryota; Metazoa; Chordata; Mammalia; Carnivora; Mustelidae. The record is from RNAcentral.
AGGUACCUUCCCUACCCCCCAGCUUGGGGACCCAGUCUGUGCCAUGAAGCCCGUGGGCAGCCCUCACCAUCCCUGAGCUUGGACCAGUGUCUGCUGCUGCCUUCUACUUAAUCUUCAUCACCUUCUUUGAGCCCAUGUGUUUGCUUCUAUUUGGAAUGCCUUCUCGUCUCUGGUCCACCCAGCAAACUCCUA